This 507-nucleotide ribosomal RNA is filed under the name uncultured bacterium. RNAcentral's name for it is "bacterial SSU rRNA". It matches the Rfam family "Bacterial small subunit ribosomal RNA", at positions 24 to 518 of the family's 1533-position model. The record is from RNAcentral.
UCAGGAUGAACGCUAGCGACAGGCUUAACACAUGCAAGUCGAGGGGCAGCAUAGAAGUAGCAAUACGUUGGUGGCGACCGGCGCACGGGUGAGUAACGCGUAUGCAACCUACCUAUCAGGAGGGGAAUAAUCCGGCGAAAGUCGGACUAAUACCGCAGUAAAACAGGGGCACCGCAUGGUGAUAUUUGUUAAAGAAAUUCGCUGAUAGAUGGGCAUGCGUUCCAUUAGGUAGUUGGUGAGGUAACGGCUCACCAAGCCGACGAUGGAUAGGGGAACUGAGAGGUUGGUCCCCCACACUGGUACUGAGACACGGACCAGACUCCUACGGGAGGCAGCAGUGAGGAAUAUUGGUCAAUGGGCGGGAGCCUGAACCAACCAAGUCGCGUGGAAAAGGAAGAAGGAUCUAUGGUUCGUAAACUUCUUUUGCAGGGGAAUAAAGUGCAGGACGUGUCCUGUUUUGUAUGUACCCUGAGAAUAAGGAUCGGCUAACUCCGUGCCAGCCGCUGC